CCCGGGGUGGAGCAGUGGCAGCUCGCCAGGCUCAUAACCUGGAGGUUGGAGGUUCGAAUCCUCCCCCCGCUACCG
RNAcentral lists this transfer RNA (75 nucleotides) under Patescibacteria group bacterium. RNAcentral's name for it is "tRNA-Met". It matches the Rfam family "tRNA". From Rfam's summary of the family: Transfer RNA (tRNA) molecules are approximately 80 nucleotides in length. Their secondary structure includes four short double-helical elements and three loops (D, anti-codon, and T loops). The record is from RNAcentral.